UGUGUAGGCUGCUACAUAAGUCGGAUGUGAAAGCCCCGGGCUCAACCCGGGAAGUGCACUCGAUACUGCGUAGCUUGAGUCUCGGAGAGGUUGGUGGAAUUCUCGGUGUAGAGGUGAAAUUCGUAGAUAUCGAGAGGAACACCGGUGGCGAAGGCGGCCAACUGGACGAAGACUGACGCUGAGACACGAAAGCGUGGGAGCAAACA
Molecule: ribosomal RNA, 206 nt
Filed under: uncultured bacterium
Lineage: Bacteria
Description: partial 16S ribosomal RNA
Rfam family: Bacterial small subunit ribosomal RNA
Source: RNAcentral